RNAcentral lists this unclassified non-coding RNA (219 nucleotides) under uncultured Tomentella. RNAcentral's name for it is "sequence contains ITS2". The record is from RNAcentral. Lineage: Eukaryota; Fungi; Basidiomycota; Agaricomycetes; Thelephorales; Thelephoraceae.
ACACCUCAACUCUCAUGGGUUUGCCAUGAUGAGCUUGGACUUUGGGGGUCUUGCUGGCCUGUGGUCGGCUCCUCUCAAACGAAUCAGCUUUCCAGUGUUUGGUGGCAUCACAGGUGUGAUAAAUAUCUACGCUUGUGGCUGCCUGCCAGGUAACCUUCAGUGAUGGAGGUUCGCUGGGGCUCAUAAAUGUCUCUCCUCUGCGAAGACAGCUUUGUGAAU